CCUACGGGGGGCAGCAGUGGGGAAUAUUGCGCAAUGGGCGAAAGCCUGACGCAGCGACGCCGCGUGAGGGAUGAAGGUCUUCGGAUCGUAAACCUCUGUCAGCAGGGAAGAACGGUCACUGUGCUAAUCAGCAGUGAAUUGACGGUACCUGCAAAGGAAGCACCGGCUAACUCCGUGCCAGCAGCCGCGGUAAUACGGAGGGUGCGGGCGUUAAUCGGAAUUACUGGGCGUAAAGCGCUCGUAGGCGGUAUGUCAAGUCAAGGGUGAAAUCCCCGCGCUCAACGUGGGAACUGCCUUUGAAACUGGCAAACUGGAGUGUGUGAGAGGAAAGUGGAAUGCCAGGUGUAGGAGUGAAAUGCGUAGAUAUCUGGAGGAACAUCAGUGGCGAAGGCGACUAUCUGGCACAUAACUGACGCUGAGGAGCGAAAGCGUGGGUAGCGAACAGGAUUAGAUACCCCUGUAGUC
This 465-nucleotide ribosomal RNA is filed under the name uncultured bacterium. RNAcentral describes it as "partial 16S ribosomal RNA". It matches the Rfam family "Bacterial small subunit ribosomal RNA", at positions 338 to 795 of the family's 1533-position model. The record is from RNAcentral.